Molecule: transfer RNA, 64 nt
Filed under: Eucinetus haemorrhoidalis
Lineage: Eukaryota; Metazoa; Arthropoda; Insecta; Coleoptera; Eucinetidae
Description: tRNA-His
Source: RNAcentral
AUUUAAAUAGUUUAAAAAAAAUAUUGAUUUGUGAUGUCAAAGAUAUAAUUUAUUAUUUUAAAUA